GACGAACGCUGGCGGCGUGCUUAACACAUGCAAGUCGAACGGAAAGGCCCCUUUGGGGGUACUCGAGUGGCGAACGGGUGAGUAACACGUGAGUAACCUGCCCUUGACUUCGGGAUAACUUCAGGAAACUGGGGCUAAUACCGGAUAGGAAUCCUUGCUGCAUGGUGGGGGUUGGAAAGCUUCGGCGGUUUUGGAUGGACUCGCGGCUUAUCAGCUUGUUGGUGGGGUAGUGGCUUACCAAGGCUUUGACGGGUAGCCGGCCUGAGAGGGCGACCGGCCACAUUGGGACUGAGAUACGGCCCAGACUCCUACGGGAGGCAGCAGUGGAGAAUAUUGCACAAUGGGCGGAAGCCUGAUGCAGCAACGCCGCGUGCGGGAUGACGGCCUUCGGGUUGUAAACCGCUUUCAGCAGGGGCGAAGCUUGUGGUGACGGUACCUGCAGAAGAAGCACCGGCUAACUACGU
This 464-nucleotide ribosomal RNA is filed under the name uncultured bacterium. Its description in RNAcentral is "partial 16S ribosomal RNA". It matches the Rfam family "Bacterial small subunit ribosomal RNA", at positions 28 to 506 of the family's 1533-position model. The record is from RNAcentral.